RNAcentral lists this long non-coding RNA (1046 nucleotides) under Apteryx owenii (little spotted kiwi). RNAcentral's name for it is "lncRNA (ENSAOWG00000014667.1)". The record is from RNAcentral. Lineage: Eukaryota; Metazoa; Chordata; Aves; Apterygiformes; Apterygidae.
GUGAUCAUCUCAUCCCUGUGAACUUUCCUGGUUUCACAGAUGCUUAUUUUUGAAGCAGAAUAGGAAGCUAGCCUGACUAGCUUAAAUUUCUCUUGAUUGAAUAGUAAUUGGUCCUGAAAUGGGUAAAUGUAUUUGAAAAAUUCAGUGUUAACAGGCUCCUGGAAACUGGAGCUGCAGAACUGAACAGCCUGCAGGGCCCUGGCUAGCAAGGUGCACAAAAGCAGAGCUGAGAGCACGGUGGCUUUCGGCUGGCUGCGUACCUGCUUGGAGGACGGGAAUCGCGGCGAGGAGACCGAGGAUUUUACAUCUUCUCCGCUGCCUGUAGGUGUGUCCACGGUGUUGUGGACCUCGGCUCCGAUCGCGGGAGAGCAUCGUUCGGGUCACUUCGGCCACGGCAGCGUCUGUAGCCAUGGAGUGGCUCCGCCACAAGCGCAGUGGAAAGCAUCCCCGAAACGGGGUUUGAAUGAGCGGGUCGCGAGCAGGAGCAGCAUGAGCUGUCAGCCCUGGGCUCCCUGCAGGCUGUGGCGAGUCCGUGGGCCAACGAAAACGGGCCAAGCCCCUGCUCUGCCUCCUGGCUUGAAAACCGCUGGAGCUGGCAUGUGUGAGCAGGGACCUGAAGCGGUGCUGGAAGCUGCUCGGCUGCCUCGGCCCAGUGGAGAGGGACGCAGGCCUGGGAGAUGGGGAUGGGCGCACACCUCUCCUGCAGCGCUGCCUCCCGCCGGUUCGGACAAAACGCUGCCUUUUCCCCCAGAGCUCCUGUUUCCCUCCUUAGGAGAGGUUGGGAUGAAGCACGCGCUUUGUGUGGACUCCUGUGGAAGUCAUUGCUUGCACCUGCAAAUUUACAGCUGGGAGUAGAAAUGAAGUGCCACGAAGACUCUGUGCCACUUAUUUAGUUGUUAGGACCUUUAAUUUCCAGUUAAUCUUCACGUGAGUUUUGCCGCAGAGUUUUCUCAGCUGCCUGCCCCCUCCGUACCCGCAGAUUGCCGCCUGCAGCAGUGCCCAGAGCAGGUAAUAAAAGCCGCGGGGAGCUGGGGAGCCUGCCGUGG